Molecule: ribosomal RNA, 468 nt
Filed under: uncultured bacterium
Lineage: Bacteria
Description: partial 16S ribosomal RNA
Rfam family: Bacterial small subunit ribosomal RNA
Source: RNAcentral
GACGAACGCUGGCGGCGUGCUUAACACAUGCAAGUCGAACGGAAAGGCCCUGCUUUUGUGGGGUGCUCGAGUGGCGAACGGGUGAGUAACACGUGAGUAACCUGCCCUUGACUUUGGGAUAACUUCAGGAAACUGGGGCUAAUACCGGAUAGGAGCUCCUGCUGCAUGGUGGGGGUUGGAAAGUGUCGGCGGUUGGGGAUGUACUCGCGGCUUAUCAGCUUGUUGGUGGGGUAGUGGCGUACCAAGGCUUUGACGGGUAGCCGGCCUGAGAGGGUGACCGGCCACAUUGGGACUGAGGUACGGCCCAGACUCCUACGGGAGGCAGCGGUGGGGAACAUUGCACAAUGGGCGGAAGCCUGAAGCAGCAACGCCGCGUGCGGGAUCACGGCCUUCAGGUUGUAAACCGCGUUCGCCUGUGACGAAGCGCAAGUGACGGUAAUGGGUAAAGAAGCACCGGCUAACUACGUG